AAAUACUGCGUGAUGCCACUUAUAUGAGUGCUUUGGAACUUUAUGCGGAUCUCUGUGUUGAGCUUGGACUACUUUGGCAAGCUUGGUGCUUUAAAGGCAAUGAUUUGUACACAUGAAAUCGCUGUAUCAACAAGGAAUCUGCUCUCGUUUCUAAGGAGGAGCUGAUGAAGAUAUCGGUUUAGUGCGUGUGAUACGUGUGUGCCAGUUGUAGAUUUUUGGCUUGGAUGACAGGCUAAUGAUGGCCAUCUUGACCCUGUGAUGAUAAAAUUAAAUAUAUAUAAAUCUGAUAUUUCA
Molecule: long non-coding RNA, 294 nt
Organism: Lemur catta (Ring-tailed lemur)
Lineage: Eukaryota; Metazoa; Chordata; Mammalia; Primates; Lemuridae
Exons: 3
Source: RefSeq, a predicted model, not a curated record